AAAUAAUAUUAAAAUUUCUUAAAAUAAAAAAAAAAAAAAAAAUUGUCUAACUAAUUAUUGUUAUCACGAAUUUAAUACCUUUAGCUUAUCUAGACGCUCGUUCAUUGAUGAUAGUAGACAUUCCACGUUAAGGGUGUAUGCAGAUGCAUGCAUAAUUAGUAUUCCCGUACGUACUCGUUAUGCGACCAGUAACAAAUUAAUGAUAAGCUACUGCAUUAGGCUAGAUAGGGAACGAGCUUAUUCCAUUUACUUCCUUUUACCUUUUAUCUCUACGUUAUAUAGACGAUACAACUAUCUCGAAUAUAUAAUGGGCAAACUUUUGAAAGAUAAUCUUGGGAACGAUUUACUGAAGUUUUCAUUUAUUAUAAAUUUUUUUAUCCAAUUUCC
Molecule: long non-coding RNA, 387 nt
Organism: Apis dorsata (giant honeybee)
Lineage: Eukaryota; Metazoa; Arthropoda; Insecta; Hymenoptera; Apidae
Exons: 3
Source: RefSeq, a predicted model, not a curated record